This 2631-nucleotide ribosomal RNA is filed under the name Escherichia coli. RNAcentral's name for it is "bacterial LSU rRNA". It matches the Rfam family "Bacterial large subunit ribosomal RNA". The record is from RNAcentral. Lineage: Bacteria; Pseudomonadati; Pseudomonadota; Gammaproteobacteria; Enterobacterales; Enterobacteriaceae.
UUAAGCGACUAAGCGUACACGGUGGAUGCCCUGGCAGUCAGAGGCGAUGAAGGACGUGCUAAUCUGCGAUAAGCGUCGGUAAGGUGAUAUGAACCGUUAUAACCGGCGAUUUCCGAAUGGGGAAACCCAGUGUGUUUCGACACACUAUCAUUAACUGAAUCCAUAGGUUAAUGAGGCGAACCGGGGGAACUGAAACAUCUAAGUACCCCGAGGAAAAGAAAUCAACCGAGAUUCCCCCAGUAGCGGCGAGCGAACGGGGAGCAGCCCAGAGCCUGAAUCAGUGUGUGUGUUAGUGGAAGCGUCUGGAAAGGCGCGCGAUACAGGGUGACAGCCCCGUACACAAAAAUGCACAUGCUGUGAGCUCGAUGAGUAGGGCGGGACACGUGGUAUCCUGUCUGAAUAUGGGGGGACCAUCCUCCAAGGCUAAAUACUCCUGACUGACCGAUAGUGAACCAGUACCGUGAGGGAAAGGCGAAAAGAACCCCGGCGAGGGGAGUGAAAAAGAACCUGAAACCGUGUACGUACAAGCAGUGGGAGCACGCUUAGGCGUGUGACUGCGUACCUUUUGUAUAAUGGGUCAGCGACUUAUAUUCUGUAGCAAGGUUAACCGAAUAGGGGAGCCGAAGGGAAACCGAGUCUUAACUGGGCGUUAAGUUGCAGGGUAUAGACCCGAAACCCGGUGAUCUAGCCAUGGGCAGGUUGAAGGUUGGGUAACACUAACUGGAGGACCGAACCGACUAAUGUUGAAAAAUUAGCGGAUGACUUGUGGCUGGGGGUGAAAGGCCAAUCAAACCGGGAGAUAGCUGGUUCUCCCCGAAAGCUAUUUAGGUAGCGCCUCGUGAAUUCAUCUCCGGGGGUAGAGCACUGUUUCGGCAAGGGGGUCAUCCCGACUUACCAACCCGAUGCAAACUGCGAAUACCGGAGAAUGUUAUCACGGGAGACACACGGCGGGUGCUAACGUCCGUCGUGAAGAGGGAAACAACCCAGACCGCCAGCUAAGGUCCCAAAGUCAUGGUUAAGUGGGAAACGAUGUGGGAAGGCCCAGACAGCCAGGAUGUUGGCUUAGAAGCAGCCAUCAUUUAAAGAAAGCGUAAUAGCUCACUGGUCGAGUCGGCCUGCGCGGAAGAUGUAACGGGGCUAAACCAUGCACCGAAGCUGCGGCAGCGACGCUUAUGCGUUGUUGGGUAGGGGAGCGUUCUGUAAGCCUGUGAAGGUGUGCUGUGAGGCAUGCUGGAGGUAUCAGAAGUGCGAAUGCUGACAUAAGUAACGAUAAAGCGGGUGAAAAGCCCGCUCGCCGGAAGACCAAGGGUUCCUGUCCAACGUUAAUCGGGGCAGGGUGAGUCGACCCCUAAGGCGAGGCCGAAAGGCGUAGUCGAUGGGAAACAGGUUAAUAUUCCUGUACUUGGUGUUACUGCGAAGGGGGGACGGAGAAGGCUAUGUUGGCCGGGCGACGGUUGUCCCGGUUUAAGCGUGUAGGCUGGUUUUCCAGGCAAAUCCGGAAAAUCAAGGCUGAGGCGUGAUGACGAGGCACUACGGUGCUGAAGCAACAAAUGCCCUGCUUCCAGGAAAAGCCUCUAAGCAUCAGGUAACAUCAAAUCGUACCCCAAACCGACACAGGUGGUCAGGUAGAGAAUACCAAGGCGCUUGAGAGAACUCGGGUGAAGGAACUAGGCAAAAUGGUGCCGUAACUUCGGGAGAAGGCACGCUGAUAUGUAGGUGAAGUCCCUUGCGGAUGGAGCUGAAAUCAGUCGAAGAUACCAGCUGGCUGCAACUGUUUAUUAAAAACACAGCACUGUGCAAACACGAAAGUGGACGUAUACGGUGUGACGCCUGCCCGGUGCCGGAAGGUUAAUUGAUGGGGUUAGCGNGCGAAGCUCUUGAUCGAAGCCCCGGUAAACGGCGGCCGUAACUAUAACGGUCCUAAGGUAGCGAAAUUCCUUGUCGGGUAAGUUCCGACCUGCACGAAUGGCGUAAUGAUGGCCAGGCUGUCUCCACCCGAGACUCAGUGAAAUUGAACUCGCUGUGAAGAUGCAGUGUACCCGCGGCAAGACGGAAAGACCCCGUGAACCUUUACUAUAGCUUGACACUGAACAUUGAGCCUUGAUGUGUAGGAUAGGUGGGAGGCUUUGAAGUGUGGACGCCAGUCUGCAUGGAGCCGACCUUGAAAUACCACCCUUUAAUGUUUGAUGUUCUAACGUUGACCCGUAAUCCGGGUUGCGGACAGUGUCUGGUGGGUAGUUUGACUGGGGCGGUCUCCUCCUAAAGAGUAACGGAGGAGCACGAAGGUUGGCUAAUCCUGGUCGGACAUCAGGAGGUUAGUGCAAUGGCAUAAGCCAGCUUGACUGCGAGCGUGACGGCGCGAGCAGGUGCGAAAGCAGGUCAUAGUGAUCCGGUGGUUCUGAAUGGAAGGGCCAUCGCUCAACGGAUAAAAGGUACUCCGGGGAUAACAGGCUGAUACCGCCCAAGAGUUCAUAUCGACGGCGGUGUUUGGCACCUCGAUGUCGGCUCAUCACAUCCUGGGGCUGAAGUAGGUCCCAAGGGUAUGGCUGUUCGCCAUUUAAAGUGGUACGCGAGCUGGGUUUAGAACGUCGUGAGACAGUUCGGUCCCUAUCUGCCGUGGGCGCUGGAGAA